CCCACGACACCACUCCGUGGAGCACUCCAUCACAUGUCAUUGGACCCCCCGGAGUCACCCUGUGCAUCAAAGAGAUGAAUUAUUAUUGCAGUGGGUAACCGGCGCAGAUCAUGUUGUCAGUGAUUUGGAGAGGAUAUGCAUUAAAGCAUGCAUCAUCACUCAGGAGAGGGACAUCCAGGCACUGCAGCAUAUGAGGUGGGCAGCAGAGAACACCCACUCUGGCGACAGGAGUGCCCCUCCGCAGACGUUGUACCCAGUAAAGAGAGACACUUGGUAGGGCACUGAGUUUCUGGGACACUCGUACCCGCCGACUAUCCUGUCAUUGUCCUUCAGUGCAGCUGCAGCUAAAAUUGACAAACCAUCAAAAAUAAUCCAUCAACCUAUCAGCAUAUGUACGGAGGAUAUUAAAAGUCUA
Phyllopteryx taeniolatus (common seadragon) is the source of this 415-nucleotide long non-coding RNA. RefSeq lists it as uncharacterized. The transcript is spliced from 3 exons. The record is from RefSeq and is a predicted model, not a curated record. Lineage: Eukaryota; Metazoa; Chordata; Actinopteri; Syngnathiformes; Syngnathidae.